GUGCCAGCCGCGCGGUAAUACGGGGGGUGCGAGCGUUGUUCGGAAUUAUUGGGCGUAAAGAGCGUGUAGGCGGCCGAAUAAGUCAGAUGUGAAAUCCCUGGGCUUAACCCAGGACGUGCAUUUGAAACUAUUCGGCUUGAGUAGGGGAGAGGAAAGUGGAAUUCCUGGUGUAGAGGUGAAAUUCGUAGAUAUCAGGAGGAACACCGGUGGCGAAGGCGACUUUCUGGCCCUAUACUGACGCUGAGACGCGAGAGCGUGGGUAGCAAACAGG
Molecule: ribosomal RNA, 271 nt
Filed under: uncultured bacterium
Lineage: Bacteria
Description: partial 16S ribosomal RNA
Rfam family: Bacterial small subunit ribosomal RNA
Source: RNAcentral